Small nuclear RNA from Suncus etruscus (white-toothed pygmy shrew), 107 nucleotides. NCBI's taxonomy places the organism in Eukaryota, Metazoa, Chordata, Mammalia, Eulipotyphla, Soricidae. The record is from RefSeq and is a predicted model, not a curated record.
AUGCUCGCUUCGGCAGCACAUAAACUAAAAUUGGAACGAUACAGAGAAGAUUAGCAUGGUCCUUGUGCAAGGAUGACAAGGAAAUUCGUGAAUUAAAACACUUUCAA